UACGUAGGGUGCGAGCGUUGUCCGGAAUUAUUGGGCGUAAAGAGCUCGUAGGCGGUCUGUCGCGUCGAUCGUGAAAACUUGGGGCUUAACCCUGAGCUUGCGGUCGAUACGGGCAUGACUGGAGUUCGGCAGGGGAGACUGGAAUUCCUGGUGUAGCGGUGAAAUGCGCAGAUAUCAGGAGGAACACCGGUGGCGAAGGCGGGUCUCUGGGCCGAUACUGACGCUCAUGCACGAAAGCGUGGGGAGCAAACAGG
Molecule: ribosomal RNA, 254 nt
Filed under: uncultured bacterium
Lineage: Bacteria
Description: partial 16S ribosomal RNA
Rfam family: Bacterial small subunit ribosomal RNA
Source: RNAcentral